Molecule: ribosomal RNA, 286 nt
Filed under: uncultured prokaryote
Description: partial 16S ribosomal RNA
Rfam family: Bacterial small subunit ribosomal RNA
Source: RNAcentral
UACGUAGGGGGCUAGCGUUAUCCGGAAUUACUGGGCGUAAAGGGUGCGUAGGCGGUCUUUCAAGCCAGAAGUGAAAGGCUACGGCUCAACCGUAGUAAGCUUUUGGAACUGUAAGACUUGAGUUCAGGAGAGGAGAGUGGAAUUCCUAGUGUAGCGGUGAAAUGCGUAGAUAUUAGGAGGAACACCAGUGGCGAAGGCGGCUUACUGGGCCGUAACUGACGCUGAGGCACGAAAGCGUGGGUAGCAAACAGGAUUAGAUACCCCCCGUAGUCCCUGAGCGGGCUGG